Molecule: ribosomal RNA, 378 nt
Filed under: uncultured bacterium
Lineage: Bacteria
Description: partial 16S ribosomal RNA
Rfam family: Bacterial small subunit ribosomal RNA
Source: RNAcentral
CCUACGGGAGGCAGCAGUGGGGAAUAUUGCACAAUGGGGGAAACCCUGCUGCAGCGACGCCGCGUGAGUGAAGAAGUAUUUCGGUACGUAAAGCUCUAUCAGCAGGGAAGAAAAUGACGGUACCUGACUAAGAAGCCCCGGCUAAAUACGUGCCAGCAGCCGAGGUAAUACGUAGGGGGCAAGCGUUAUCCGGAUUUACUGGGUGUAAAGGGAGGGUAGACGGGAGCGCAAGUCUGAAGGUAAAUCCGAUGGGCUAAACAUGGAAGUGCGUUGGAAACUGUGAGGCUGGAGUGGAGGAGAGGUACGCGGAAUGCGCGGUGUAGCGGUGAAAUGCGUAGAUAUUGGGAAGAACACCGGUGGCGAAGGCAGCUUACCGGC